Molecule: ribosomal RNA, 1372 nt
Filed under: uncultured bacterium
Lineage: Bacteria
Description: bacterial SSU rRNA
Rfam family: Bacterial small subunit ribosomal RNA
Source: RNAcentral
GAUGAACGCUGGCGGCGUGCCUAAUACAUGCAAGUCGAGCGAACGGACGAGAAGCUUGCUUCUCUGAUGUUAGCGGCGGACGGGUGAGUAACACGUGGAUAACCUACCUAUAAGACUGGGAUAACUUCGGGAAACCGGAGCUAAUACCGGAUAAUAUUUUGAACCGCAUGGUUCAAAAGUAAAAGACGGUCUUGCUGUCACUUAUAGAUGGAUCCGCGCUGCAUUAGCUAGUUGGUAAGGUAACGGCUUACCAAGGCAACGAUGCAUAGCCGACCUGAGAGGGUGAUCGGCCACACUGGAACUGAGACACGGUCCAGACUCCUACGGGAGGCAGCAGUAGGGAAUCUUCCGCAAUGGGCGAAAGCCCGACGGAGCAACGCCGCGUGAGUGAUGAAGGUCUUCGGAUCGUAAAACUCUGUUAUUAGGGAAGAACAUAUGUGUAAGUAACUGUGCACAUCUUGACGGUACCUAAUCAGAAAGCCACGGCUAACUACGUGCCAGCAGCCGCGGUAAUACGUAGGUGGCAAGCGUUAUCCGGAAUUAUUGGGCGUAAAGCGCGCGUAGGCGGUUUUUUAAGUCUGAUGUGAAAGCCCACGGCUCAACCGUGGAGGGUCAUUGGAAACUGGAAAACUUGAGUGCAGAAGAGGAAAGUGGAAUUCCAUGUGUAGCGGUGAAAUGCGCAGAGAUAUGGAGGAACACCAGUGGCGAAGGCGACUUUCUGGUCUGUAACUGACGCUGAUGUGCGAAAGCGUGGGGAUCAAACAGGAUUAGAUACCCUGGUAGUCCACGCCGUAAACGAUGAGUGCUAAGUGUUAGGGGGUUUCCGCCCCUUAGUGCUGCAGCUAACGCAUUAAGCACUCCGCCUGGGGAGUACGACCGCAAGGUUGAAACUCAAAGGAAUUGACGGGGACCCGCACAAGCGGUGGAGCAUGUGGUUUAAUUCGAAGCAACGCGAAGAACCUUACCAAAUCUUGACAUUCUUUGACAACUCUAGAGAUAGAGCCUUCCCCUUCGGGGGACAAAGUGACAGGUGGUGCAUGGUUGUCGUCAGCUCGUGUCGUGAGAUGUUGGGUUAAGUCCCGCAACGAGCGCAACCCUUAAGCUUAGUUGCCAUCAUUAAGUUGGGCACUCUAAGUUGACUGCCGGUGACAAACCGGAGGAAGGUGGGGAUGACGUCAAAUCAUCAUGCCCCUUAUGAUUUGGGCUACACACGUGCUACAAUGGACAAUACAAAGGGCAGCGAAACCGCGAGGUCAAGCAAAUCCCAUAAAGUUGUUCUCAGUUCGGAUUGUAGUCUGCAACUCGACUACAUGAAGCUGGAAUCGCUAGUAAUCGUAGAUCAGCAUGCUACGGUGAAUACGUUCCCGGGUCU